This 275-nucleotide ribosomal RNA is filed under the name uncultured Singulisphaera sp. RNAcentral describes it as "partial 16S ribosomal RNA". It matches the Rfam family "Bacterial small subunit ribosomal RNA", at positions 338 to 624 of the family's 1533-position model. The record is from RNAcentral. Lineage: Bacteria; Pseudomonadati; Planctomycetota; Planctomycetia; Isosphaerales; Isosphaeraceae.
CCUACGGGAGGCUGCAGUCGAGAAUCUUCGGCAAUGGGCGAAAGCCUGACCGAGCGACGCCGCGUGGAGGACGAAGGCCUUCGGGUUGUAAACUCCUGUUGGGGGGAAACAAGGGCAACUUGAGUGCACCCCUGAGGAAGCACGGGCUAAGUUCGUGCCAGCAGCCGCGGUAAGACGAACCGUGCGAACGUUAUUCGGAAUCAUUGGGCUUAAAGGGCGCGUAGGCGGCGUCGUCAGUUCGUGGUGAAAUCCCAUCGGCUCAACCGUGGAAUCGC